This 518-nucleotide ribosomal RNA is filed under the name Laparocerus morio. RNAcentral's name for it is "partial 16S ribosomal RNA". It matches the Rfam family "Bacterial large subunit ribosomal RNA", at positions 1816 to 2604 of the family's 2925-position model. Lineage: Eukaryota; Metazoa; Arthropoda; Insecta; Coleoptera; Curculionidae. The record is from RNAcentral.
CAUGGCCUUUUGAUUAUAAUUUAAGGUCUGACCUGCCCAAUGAAAAUUUAAAUGGCCGCGGUAUUUUGACCGUGCAAAGGUAGCAUAAUCAUUAGUUUUUUAAUUGAAAGCUGGAAUGAAAGGUUGGAUGAGAAAAAAGCUGUCUCUAUUUAAUUUAUUUAGAAUUUUAUUUUUAAGUUAAAAAGCUUAAAUUUAAAUAGAAGACGAGAAGACCCUAUAGAGUUUUAUUAAUUCUUUUUAUAAAAUUAAUAGUAUUUUUUAUUUUUAUAAAAGUAAUUAAUUUAGUUGGGGUGAUUGAAAAAUUAAAUAAACUUUUUUUAUAUAUAUACAUAAAUAUAUGAUUAAUUGAUCCUUAAUUUAAGAUUAAAAGAUAAAAUUACCUUAGGGAUAACAGCGUAAUUUUUUUUGAGAGUUCAAAUCGAAAAAAAAGAUUGCGACCUCGAUGUUGGAUUAAAAUAAAAUUUNGGUNUAGAAGCUAAAGUAUUUAGGUCUGUUCGACCUUUAAAAUUUUACUUGAU